AUCUAUGGCCACGCCACGCUGAACAAGCCCGAUCCCAUCUGGUCUCCGAAGCUAAGCAGGGUCGGGCCUGAUUAGUACUUGGGUGGGAGACCGCCUAGGAAGACCAGGUGCUAUGGGCA
Molecule: ribosomal RNA, 119 nt
Filed under: Pteropus alecto (black flying fox)
Lineage: Eukaryota; Metazoa; Chordata; Mammalia; Chiroptera; Pteropodidae
Source: RNAcentral